GGUUCGGUGGUGUAGUUGGUUAUCACAUUCGUCUCACAUGCACGUGAUCACGAGAGGUCCCCGGUUCGAGACCGGGUCGAACCA
This is a non-coding RNA of Phlebiopsis gigantea 11061_1 CR5-6, 84 nucleotides long. Lineage: Eukaryota; Fungi; Basidiomycota; Agaricomycetes; Polyporales; Phanerochaetaceae. The record is from the annotation of a GenBank genome assembly.